CACAUUCAAUACACUUUGACCCCUUUUUGGUGAGAACUCUUUGGUUGCUCCCUCUCUUCGUGAAUCUGCUAUCUCCUUUGUGCAGUCUCUCUGUGAGAACUCUGUGCCUCACCUUUGCCAACACCUUGGCCGGCGACUUGUUCUCUUGCUUCGAUCUUUCCCUACUUCAUCGUCUCUACACGAUUCCUUGGGCGAUUUCCUUUGUGAUUUUGAGUGUGGUUAUUCGUUCUAUCUUGUAGAGCUCUUUGUAUGUUAUUGGGUUAUUGAUCUGAGUCUUAUUCAAUCCAUUUUUGGUAUCAAUCUUUGUGAUAAUUGAAAUGGAA
This 323-nucleotide long non-coding RNA is filed under the name Olea europaea subsp. europaea. The record is from RNAcentral. Lineage: Eukaryota; Viridiplantae; Streptophyta; Magnoliopsida; Lamiales; Oleaceae.